AUGAAGGUACGACAUUUUUUUAGACGAAGUUGUUGUACCGCUCGUUCAGUGAUGAAUGUUGAUUCUGAACCAGGAUCUAGCAGCGCUCUCAAACUGAUGAAUUCUCCGUUGGCUGAUUGUAUUUGGAUGACUGCUGUAGCAAGUAACACCAUAGUACUCAAGGGAUUUGCGACGUGAUAAUUUUGAUAAAUUUGCGAAGUGGCAGCUUGGCUAGUACUCGGAUUGAAUGGUUUCGCGUUUGGAUUAAUCUGCGCAUUCGAUGUAGCUGAAUUAAAACUGGAACAAUUCGCUUGAUUGGAUUGUGAAUUUUGAGAAUUUUGGCUGAAAUUAGAAUUUUGAGCAAUAAGAGAACUGUGCAAAAGCGUGUGAUGUUUUUGGUUGCAGUGAAAACACCGUUUUUCACUAGGACAUUGAAACGUUUUGUGAUUGAACAUCCAGCUUCAAAAAUGAGUGGCACGAACGAAGUGAAUGCUGACCCUUGUGGCAUACUGCGCAGCUAUACUUCUGCUUCUUCACCGACUUCAUAUGCAGCACCUUUGGUUUCAGCUUCAACUGUUCCUUACUCGAACCCGAGUUAACCUUGGGUUUGGAGUUCUGCUGACAAACAACCUCUAAAGAACGAAACCUAGUUGUCAAAAAGGUUGAAAAUUCUCUAAAGGAGAGUGAAAAUAAUUACAACAUCCCAACUAUCUACAGGAACACCUAAAUUCUUCAAAGCAUGAAGCACCUCUGUUGACUUGUCUAAGAGGCCCUUGAUGGAAUCUGCUGUUUCAACACUGACUGCCGGCUGAUCGAAAAAUGUUUUAAGCUGAGUGGUGACCAAAAUCCGCUUAUGGUCGUAACGCGUUACCAAAAUUGACCAUGCCUGGUCAUAAUUGUCAUUGUUGACCUCGAGACAGUGAUGAAUUGCUAUGGAUUAAAGAGACGAAGAGAUCGUGAAAUGGACGCCAAUUGUCAUAAUCCCCAUAGAACGUUGGGGGAGUUAUCGCAGGAAGUCUUAUUUCACGGAAGUUUGAUGAUUUAGCCGCGUUAUUCAAAAAAGAUUCCCGCCGAUUAUGGGAUUUGGCACCAUCCUUACUUUCAUCUCUGGAAUUUUCACCAAAUUGCAAACUAUCUAACCUAUCUAACUCAUCUAAAAUACCAGCUUUGUACGACAGGCAAGUUUCCAUAGUAUCAUCGUACUUUUCCUCACACUCAUCUAAAACUGUUUCAUCUUCUUCGGCGCCUUGAAAAGCAUCGUACAACUCGCAUACUUUUCUAAAAUUUUCUUCUAGAAUAUUCAAAUGUCCUAUCAAGUAAUUCUUAGUUUUCUGUUCAGGUUUCAAAUUUCUGAACUUUGCGCUAUUUUUCAAAAUUUGUGAACAUGUCUUAUUGAAAACCUUUAAUUCCACUGAAUCACUCA
Eupeodes corollae is the source of this 1402-nucleotide long non-coding RNA. RefSeq lists it as uncharacterized. NCBI's taxonomy places the organism in Eukaryota, Metazoa, Arthropoda, Insecta, Diptera, Syrphidae. The transcript is spliced from 5 exons. The record is from RefSeq and is a predicted model, not a curated record.